UCUACCUAGUAGUAUGGAAUAAUUGUUGGAAACGGCAACUAAUACCGUAUACGCCCUACGGGGGAAAAAUUUAUUGCUAUUGGAUGAGCCUAUAUUAGAUUAGCUAGUUGGUGGAGUAAUAGCCUACCAAGGCAAUGAUCUAUAGCUGAUCUGAGAGGAUGAUCAGCCACACUGGAACUGAGAUACGGUCCAGACUCCUACGGGAGGCAGCAGUGGGGAAUAUUGGACAAUGGGCGAAAGCCUGAUCCAGCCAUGCCGCAUGAGUGAAGAAGGCCUUUGGGUUGUAAAGCUCUUUUAGUGAGGAAGAUAAUGACGGUACUCACAGAAGAAGUCCUGGCUAACUCCGUGCCAGCAGCCGCGGUAAUACGGAGAGGGCUAGCGUUAUUCGGAAUUAUUGGGCGUAAAGGGCGCGUAGGCUGGUUAAUAAGUUAAAAGUGAAAUCCCGAGGCUUAACCUUGGAAUUGCUUUUAAAACUAUUAAUCUAGAGAUUGAAAGAGGAUAGAGGAAUUCCUGAUGUAGAGGUAAAAUUCGUAAAUAUUAGGAGGAACACCAGUGGCGAAGGCGUCUAUCUGGUUCAAAUCUGACGCUGAAGCGCGAAGGCGUGGGGAGCAAACAGGAUUAGAUACCCUGGUAGUCCACGCUGUAAACGAUGAAUGUUAAAUAUGGGAAGUUUACU
This 676-nucleotide ribosomal RNA is filed under the name Wolbachia endosymbiont of Varroa destructor. Its description in RNAcentral is "bacterial SSU rRNA". It matches the Rfam family "Bacterial small subunit ribosomal RNA", at positions 125 to 835 of the family's 1533-position model. The record is from RNAcentral. Lineage: Bacteria; Pseudomonadati; Pseudomonadota; Alphaproteobacteria; Rickettsiales; Anaplasmataceae.